UACGUAGGCACCAAGCGUUGUCCGGAUUUAUUGGGCGUAAAGAGCUCGUAGGCGGUUCAGUAAGUCGGGUGUGAAACCUUUCGGCUCAACCGAAAGCCUGCAUCCGAUACUGCUGUGACUUGAGUUCGGUAGGGGAGUGGGGAAUUCCUAGUGUAGCGGUGAAAUGCGCAGAUAUUAGGAGGAACACCGGUGGCGAAGGCGCCACUCUGGGCCGAUACUGACGCUGAGGAGCGAAAGCGUGGGGAGCGAACAGG
Molecule: ribosomal RNA, 254 nt
Filed under: uncultured bacterium
Lineage: Bacteria
Description: partial 16S ribosomal RNA
Rfam family: Bacterial small subunit ribosomal RNA
Source: RNAcentral